AUUGAACGCUGGCGGCAUGCCUUACACAUGCAAGUCGAACGGCAGCACGGGUGCUUGCACCUGGUGGCGAGUGGCGAACGGGUGAGUAAUACAUCGGAACAUGUCCUGUAGUGGGGGAUAGCCCGGCGAAAGCCGGAUUAAUACCGCAUACGAUCUACGGAUGAAAGCGGGUGACCUUCGGGCCUCGCGCUUUAGGGUUGGCCGAUGGCUGAUUAGCUAGUUGGUGGGGUAAAGGCCUACCAAGGCGACGAUCAGUAGCUGGUCUGAGAGGACGACCAGCCACACUGGAACUGAGACACGGCCCAGACUCCUACGGGAGGCAGCAGUGGGGAAUUUUGGACAAUGGGCGAAAGCCUGAUCCAGCAAUGCCGCGUGUGUGAAGAAGGCCUUCGGGUUGUAAAGCACUUUUGUCCGGAAAGAAAUCCUUGGCUCUAAUACAGUCGGGGGAUGACGGUACCGGAAGAAUAAGCACCGGCUAACUACGUG
This 486-nucleotide ribosomal RNA is filed under the name uncultured bacterium. RNAcentral's name for it is "partial 16S ribosomal RNA". It matches the Rfam family "Bacterial small subunit ribosomal RNA", at positions 30 to 507 of the family's 1533-position model. The record is from RNAcentral.